GACGAACGCUGGCGGCGUGCCUAAUACAUGCAAGUAGAACGCUGAAGGAGGAGCUUGCUCUUCUGGAUGAGUUGCGAACGGGUGAGUAACGCGUAGGUAACCUGCCUGGUAGCGUGGGAUAACUAUUGGAAACGAUAGCUAAUACCGCAUAACAGUAGAUGUUGCAUGACAUUUACUUAAAAGUUGCAAUUGCAUCACUACCAGAUGGACCUGCGUUGUAUUAGCUAGUUGGUGGGGUAACGGCUCACCAAGGCGACGAUACAUAGCCGACCUGAGAGGGUGAUCGGCCACACUGAGACUGAGACACGGCACAGACUCCUACGGGAGGCAGCAGUAGGGAAUCUUCGGCAAUGGACGGAAGUCUGACCGAGCAACGCCGCGUGAGUGAAGAAGGUUUUCGGAUCGUAAAGCUCUGUUGUAAGAGAAGAACGAGUGUGGGAGUGGAAAGUUCACACUGUGACGGUAUCUUACCAGAAAGGGACGGCUAACUACGUG
This 495-nucleotide ribosomal RNA is filed under the name uncultured bacterium. Its description in RNAcentral is "partial 16S ribosomal RNA". It matches the Rfam family "Bacterial small subunit ribosomal RNA", at positions 28 to 507 of the family's 1533-position model. The record is from RNAcentral.